RNAcentral lists this ribosomal RNA (490 nucleotides) under uncultured bacterium. RNAcentral's name for it is "bacterial SSU rRNA". It matches the Rfam family "Bacterial small subunit ribosomal RNA", at positions 29 to 507 of the family's 1533-position model. The record is from RNAcentral.
AGUGAACGCUGGCGGCAGGCCUAAUACAUGCAAGUCGAACGGCAGCACAGCAGAGCUUGCUCUGUGGGUGGCGAGUGGCGGACGGGUGAGGAAUACAUGGGAAUCUGCCCAGUCGUGGGGGAUAACGUAGGGAAACUUACGCUAAUACCGCAUGCGCCCUUCGGGGGAAAGCCGGGGACCUUCGGGCCUGGCGCGAUUGGAUGAGCCCAUGUCGGAUUAGCUAGUUGGCGGGGUAAUGGCCCACCAAGGCGACGAUCCGUAGCUGGUCUGAGAGGAUGAUCAGCCACACUGGAACUGAGACACGGUCCAGACUCCUACGGGAGGCAGCAGUAGGGAAUAUUGGACAAUGGGCGCAAGCCUGAUCCAGCCAUGCCGCGUGAGUGAAGAAGGCCCUCGGGUUGUAAAGCUCUUUUGUCCGGAAAGAAAAGCGCCGGGUUAAUACCCUAGUGUCCUGACGGUACCGGAAGAAUAAGCACCGGCUAACUUCGUG